GCUUGCUCCUUGGGUGGCGAGUGGCGGACGGGUGAGGAAUACAUCGGAAUCUACUUUUUCGUGGGGGAUAACGUAGGGAAACUUACGCUAAUACCGCAUACGACCUACGGGUGAAAGCAGGGGACCUUCGGGCCUUGCGCGAUUGAAUGAGCCGAUGUCGGAUUAGCUAGUUGGCGGGGUAAAGGCCCACCAAGGCGACGAUCCGUAGCUGGUCUGAGAGGAUGAUCAGCCACACUGGAACUGAGACACGGUCCAGACUCCUACGGGAGGCAGCAGUGGGGAAUAUUGGACAAUGGGCGCAAGCCUGAUCCAGCCAUACCGCGUGGGUGAAGAAGGCCUUCGGGUUGUAAAGCCCUUUUGUUGGGAAAGAAAUCCAGCCGGCUAAUACCUGGUUGGGAUGACGGUACCCAAAGAAUAAGCACCGGCUAACUUCGUGCCAGCAGCCGCGGUAAUACGAAGGGUGCAAGCGUUACUCGGAAUUACUGGGCGUAAAGCGUGCGUAGGUGGUUGUUUAAGUCUGUUGUGAAAGCCCUGGGCUCAACCUGGGAACUGCAGUGGAAACUGGAUAACUAGAGUGUGGUAGAGGGUAGCGGAAUUCCCGGU
Molecule: ribosomal RNA, 603 nt
Filed under: uncultured Stenotrophomonas sp.
Lineage: Bacteria; Pseudomonadati; Pseudomonadota; Gammaproteobacteria; Lysobacterales; Lysobacteraceae
Description: bacterial SSU rRNA
Rfam family: Bacterial small subunit ribosomal RNA
Source: RNAcentral